AGCAAGACCCUAGAACUCGAGCGAGGAAAAAAGAAAAAAACAAAAGGUGAUAAUGGAGCGACGAGCGAGCGCUUCGUGACAAAGCAUGUAAGAACUGAGAAGCAGCUGUCGGGACUGCAUGGUCAGAAUCACGUGAAGCUAGAGAGGAAAGGAGGGCUAAAGCUAUAUAGUUUGAUGUGUAAAAAAUAUAGUAAUUUGAUG
RNAcentral lists this unclassified non-coding RNA (201 nucleotides) under Hevea brasiliensis (rubber tree). The record is from RNAcentral. Lineage: Eukaryota; Viridiplantae; Streptophyta; Magnoliopsida; Malpighiales; Euphorbiaceae.